AAUUGGGGUACAAAUUCGUUGUGUAGGCCAAGUUAUUGUCGCUCCCGCCUCUCGUCCCGUGGCCUAUAGCCUAUGGAAGCUGGGUUCCGGUCGAAAAAUCGAGGAUUGCUGGAAAUGCUCCGAGACUUUGGAGUCCCUUAACAUUUGUUGGAAUAGAUGUCCAUUCAAAAAUUGGGGUACAAAUUCAUUGUGUAGGCCAAGUUAUUGUGCUUCCCGCCUCUCGUCCCGUGGCCUAUGGCCUAUGGAGCAUUAUGUCCGGUCAAAAAAUAGAGGAUUGUUGGAAAUGCUCCGACACUUUGGAGUCCCUCAACCUUUGUAGGAAUAGACGUCCAUGCAAAAAUUGGAGUACAAAUUCGUUGUG
RNAcentral lists this long non-coding RNA (361 nucleotides) under Lathyrus oleraceus (garden pea). Its description in RNAcentral is "Pisum sativum (pea) long non-coding RNA (PSAT_LNC028126)". The record is from RNAcentral. Lineage: Eukaryota; Viridiplantae; Streptophyta; Magnoliopsida; Fabales; Fabaceae.